AUUGAACGCUGGCGGCAGGCCUAACACAUGCAAGUCGAGCGGAUGAAGGGAGCUUGCUCCUGGAUUCAGCGGCGGACGGGUGAGUAAUGCCUAGGAAUCUGCCUGGUAGUGGGGGAUAACGUCCGGAAACGGGCGCUAAUACCGCAUACGUCCUGAGGGAGAAAGUGGGGGAUCUUCGGACCUCACGCUAUCAUAUGAGCCUAGGUCGGAUUAGCUAGUUGGUGGGGUAAAGGCCUACCAAGGCGACGAUCCGUAACUGGUCUGAGAGGAUGAUCAGUCACACUGGAACUGAGACACGGUCCAGACUCCUACGGGAGGCAGCAGUGGGGAAUAUUGGACAAUGGGCGAAAGCCUGAUCCAGCCAUGCCGCGUGUGUGAAGAAGGUCUUCGGAUUGUAAAGCACUUUAAGUUGGGAGGAAGGGCAGUAAGUUAAUACCUUGCUGUUUUGACGUUACCAACAGAAUAAGCACCGGCUAACUUCGCG
RNAcentral lists this ribosomal RNA (484 nucleotides) under uncultured bacterium. Its description in RNAcentral is "partial 16S ribosomal RNA". It matches the Rfam family "Bacterial small subunit ribosomal RNA", at positions 30 to 507 of the family's 1533-position model. The record is from RNAcentral.